UGCGUAGGCGGUUUAAUAAGUCAGAAGUGAAAAGUCCGAGCUCAACUGGGGCCUUGCUUUUGAUACUGUUAGACUUGAAUCAGGCUGAGGUUAGCGGAAUGUGACAUGUAGCGGUGAAAUGCAUAGAUAUGUCAUAGAACACCAAUUGCGAAGGCAGCUAACUAGACCUCGAUUGACGCUGAGGCACGAAAGCGUGGGGAGCGAACAGGAUUAGAUACCCUGGUAGUCC
This 229-nucleotide ribosomal RNA is filed under the name uncultured bacterium. RNAcentral's name for it is "partial 16S ribosomal RNA". It matches the Rfam family "Bacterial small subunit ribosomal RNA", at positions 568 to 796 of the family's 1533-position model. The record is from RNAcentral.